CGACGUAGGUAACCUGCCUUGUAGCGGGGGAGUAACUAUUGGAAACGAUAGCUAAUACCGCAUAACAAUGGAUGACACAUGUCAUUUAUUUGAAAGGGGCAAUUGCUCCACUACAAGAUGGACCUGCGUUGUAUUAGCUAGUAGGUGAGGUAACGGCUCACCUAGGCGACGAUACAUAGCCGACCUGAGAGGGUGAUCGGCCACACUGGGACUGAGACACGGCCCAG
This 227-nucleotide ribosomal RNA is filed under the name uncultured bacterium. RNAcentral's name for it is "partial 16S ribosomal RNA". It matches the Rfam family "Bacterial small subunit ribosomal RNA", at positions 113 to 334 of the family's 1533-position model. The record is from RNAcentral.